CACGUAGGGGACGAGCGUUGUCCGGAUUCAUUGGGCGUAAAGCGCGUGUAGGCGGUCCGGUAAGUCCGCUGUGAAAGUCGAGGGCUCAACCCUCGAAUGCCGGUGGAUACUGUCGGGCUUGAGGAUGUGAGAGGCGAGUGGAAUUCCUGGUGUAGCGGUGAAAUGCGCAGAUAUCGGGAGGAACACCAGUGGCGAAGGCGACUACCUGGCCUGUUUCUUGACGCUGAGGCGCGAAAGCUAGGGGAGCAAACGGG
This 254-nucleotide ribosomal RNA is filed under the name uncultured bacterium. RNAcentral describes it as "partial 16S ribosomal RNA". It matches the Rfam family "Bacterial small subunit ribosomal RNA", at positions 524 to 776 of the family's 1533-position model. The record is from RNAcentral.